This is a non-coding RNA of Coturnix japonica (Japanese quail), 1293 nucleotides long. The record is from RefSeq and is a predicted model, not a curated record. NCBI's taxonomy places the organism in Eukaryota, Metazoa, Chordata, Aves, Galliformes, Phasianidae.
GCAGCGUCCUGGGCAGCACUUAGGGCUGUGUCAGGAAAGCUGCUGGCUUCUCUCCACAAAUUGCCAACUGAAAUCAGCCCAGGGCUCCCCUCGUUGCUGUUUGUUUUCUCCCCCGCUCCCAGCGGUCUCUCCCUGCGCUGCCGCCGCUGUGGCCGUGAGCCCAGAGCCCAAACAAAGGUGCGGCGGUGCCGGCAGGGUGCGGGGCUCCCGAGGACGGCCCUGUGCCUCCCAGAGCUCGUGGGCAGGGCAGGGGCCGGCCUGGCCCCGCUGUCACAGGAGGAUUUGGUGCCAGGGAACUGGUGCCCGCUUGUGGCUCAGCUCCGGGAAGCAGCAGAGGAUGCGAUGUUCGGUGCUGAGCUCUUUCUUGCAGCUCCCUUUGGAAGUGGCUGCGGGGAUUUGCUGCUGCAGAGCAGCUCCAGCUCUUCCACAGAUCCCCUCUGAUGUGCUCCUCUAGGCUCAUUUCCACAGCUCCUAAGGGGACACUGUUCCGUGUAUGGACGAGGCUACGAAAGGUGUGGAUCGCAAGCAAGCAGGACUAUAGCACAGCUGAGGGAUGGACAGCAGCUCUGCAUCUGGAGGCUCCAUUGCUCUGUCUGAUGUGACCCUUGCUUGGAACAGCCUUCAGAAAGCCAAAGCAGUGCUACAAAGGAUUGAAAACAAAUUUUGUCAUCAAACGCGGAGCUGUGCCAGCUCACAGGCAGCCAGGAGAAAGCUUUGGCAUGGAGAAAGCUUUGGUGAAGAGAGAAACAGAGAUGAAACAGCCCUGAAAGAGAAAAAGACCAGUGAGGUUCCUGUGUCCUGCUGGUGAGUAAUGACCUCAGUGCACAGCAUGUGGGGAUGGGGUGGCAAGAGGCACACAGAAAUGGGUGUAAAAUCCCAGGGUGCAGGACUUGUUUGGCACCUUACAAUUUAUUAUUAGAGAAAUAAAAAGGUCACCAGAUCAAUCACCCCCAGAAAUGCUGAGCACUUGGCAUCCCUUCCAUCAGCUCCCUGCCAUAGUCUGUCUGCCUUAGUCCAUGCUCAUAGUAAUUUGACAGACCGCUGUUCCCUUUGCACUUCCCAAUUUAAUCUUCAUUUACUCCUGGUAGCAGACAAAAUGCUGCUGCUAUGAACAGACCAGCAUCACCAGCAGAAUGUCUCCUGGGAGCUCAACUGCCACCUAUGUGUAUUGUGUAAUAAUAUCCCAUGUUUACAGGUUGUACUAAGGGACAUGGUUUAAUGGGGAAAUAUUGGUGGUAGGUGGAUGGUUGGACUGCAUGAUCUUGGAGAUCCUUCCUUUGUGAUUCUGUGUGA